RNAcentral lists this small nucleolar RNA (107 nucleotides) under Gossypium arboreum. RNAcentral describes it as "Plant small nucleolar RNA R71". It matches the Rfam family "Plant small nucleolar RNA R71". Rfam says of the family: R71 is a member of the C/D box family of snoRNAs containing the C (UGAUGA) and D (CUGA) box motifs. Multiple nearly identical copies of this snoRNA have been identified in Arabidopsis, and it is thought to function as a 2'-O-ribose methylation guide for 18S ribosomal RNA. Lineage: Eukaryota; Viridiplantae; Streptophyta; Magnoliopsida; Malvales; Malvaceae. The record is from Rfam by way of RNAcentral.
AACCCAUGGUGAGGGCAUAUUCUCAAAAGGUCAUUGUAUCUCUCCCAUACAUCGUAAAGUGUUUCUAAGUCCAUCUGCACAAACGAAGACAUAUCAUUACGUAAUUU